UUCCUGAGCUUCCAAACACGGCAUAACAUUUUCUCUCACUAGGUCGCAUUUCUAAAGUAGAGCUACCAGGGAAAAGGUGAAUAGGUGAAGGAGAUGGCCGGAGAAGAUGCAGGUCCAGCUGCCCCAAAGGUCGUUCGCCUGCUGUACUUCGUCGGCGCCGGAUUCAUAACCACUUUGGCUAUCAACAAGUGGAGAGAUCUUCAACGAAAGUCAAUUCAACAACAGCAAGAUCGAUUAUCGGAUGGGGUACACAAAGCUGUCGAAUAACAAAUUGUAACUUUGGAGUUUUAGGGUUUCAUUCUAGAGCAUUUUCUCACUUCACAUCAUAGUUCACUGCUGGCACAUUCUUGAUGCGAGUCAGAGCUUUAUUUGUACCAGACUAAAAUGGUUGAAAUUUUUUCAUUCCCUGUUGUUUGUUAUUUUGGACUUCAGAGUGGAGCUUUUUGUAUGAGUGGGGUUUGUCCCCUGAAUUUAGUUCAGUCAAUUGCAUCCAAAUCAAUGGUUAGUAGGUAGUACAUAUAGAAUUUGACACUGUUCUAGAUCUUCACUUUAAGAUGUCUUGAUAUUUGUUGAAAUUAAGUCCAUCUUAUAUUUUACAGAGGAUUUUGAUUUUCCUU
Molecule: non-coding RNA, 617 nt
Organism: Camellia sinensis
Lineage: Eukaryota; Viridiplantae; Streptophyta; Magnoliopsida; Ericales; Theaceae
Source: RefSeq, a predicted model, not a curated record